RNAcentral lists this ribosomal RNA (415 nucleotides) under uncultured bacterium. RNAcentral's name for it is "bacterial SSU rRNA". It matches the Rfam family "Bacterial small subunit ribosomal RNA", at positions 29 to 487 of the family's 1533-position model. The record is from RNAcentral.
AACGAACGCUGGCGGCAUGCCUAACACAUGCAAGUCGAACGAAGGCUUCGGCCUUAGUGGCGCACGGGGUGCGUAACGCGUGGGAAUCUGCCCUUGGGUUCGGAAGUAACUCAGAGAAAUUUGAGCUAAUACCGGAUGAUGACGUAAGUCCAAAGAUUUAUCGCCCAAGGAUGAGCCCGCGUAAGAUUAGCUAGUUGGUGGGGUAAAGGCCUACCAAGGCGACGAUCUUUAGCUGGUCUGAGAGGAUGAUCAGCCACACUGGGACUGAGACACGGCCCAGACUCCUACGGGAGGCAGCAGUGGGGAAUAUUGGACAAUGGGCGAAAGCCUGAUCCAGCAAUGCCGCGUGAGUGAUGAAGGCCUUAGGGUUGUAAAGCUCUUUUACCAGGGAUGACAAUGACAGUACCUGGAGAAU